This 74-nucleotide transfer RNA is filed under the name Candidatus Bathyarchaeota archaeon. Its description in RNAcentral is "tRNA-Thr". It matches the Rfam family "tRNA". From Rfam's summary of the family: Transfer RNA (tRNA) molecules are approximately 80 nucleotides in length. Lineage: Archaea; Thermoproteati; Candidatus Bathyarchaeota. The record is from RNAcentral.
GCCUCGGUGGCCUAGCCCGGUAGGGCAUCACCUUGGUAAGGUGGUGGUCGCGGGUUCAAAUCCCGCCCGAGGCU